Long non-coding RNA from Saccostrea echinata, 317 nucleotides. RefSeq lists it as uncharacterized. NCBI's taxonomy places the organism in Eukaryota, Metazoa, Mollusca, Bivalvia, Ostreida, Ostreidae. The record is from RefSeq and is a predicted model, not a curated record. The transcript is spliced from 3 exons.
UCCAUUCCCGCCACCGCCGCCAUUUUUCAGAAGGCCAUUUUUUCCCAUGAUGCCCUUUAUGAGGCCUCCUCCUCCACCAAUUUUCGUUAUUAGGCAAGGUUAACAACGUGCGCCUGAUUUGAAUCAUUCGAAUGAGUGAAGGGAUUGGUUCAUUUUCUGACGUACUUCCGGUGUAUAUUUCAUCAGACUUGCGUCCUGUGUCGACCGUUUUGAUUGGUGGAGAUUUAUCUUAAGAAUAUUUUUAAUUUUUCGUUUUCUUUGACAGAAGGCUAAGAUUAACUUUACAUGUAGUCCAGUUAUUUUGGGCUUCCUUGUGU